RNAcentral lists this ribosomal RNA (301 nucleotides) under uncultured bacterium. RNAcentral's name for it is "partial 16S ribosomal RNA". It matches the Rfam family "Bacterial small subunit ribosomal RNA", at positions 509 to 807 of the family's 1533-position model. The record is from RNAcentral.
CAGCAGCCGCGGUAACACGUAGGUGGCAAGCGUUGUCCGGAAUUAUUGGGCGUAAAGGGCUCGCAGGCGGUUUCUUAAGCCUGAUGUGAAAGCCCCCGGCUCAACCGGGGAGGGUCAUUGGAAACUGGGAAACUUGAGUGCAGAAGAGGAGAGUGGAAUUCCACGUGUAGCGGUGAAAUGCGUAGAAAUGUGGAGGAACACCAGUGGCGAAGGCGACUCUCUGGUCUGUAACUGACGCUGAGGAGCGAAAGCGUGGGGAGCGAACAGGAUUAGAUACCCCAGUAGUCCCUGUCUCUUAUAC